RNAcentral lists this ribosomal RNA (295 nucleotides) under Algoriphagus sp. SL1. Its description in RNAcentral is "partial 16S ribosomal RNA". The record is from RNAcentral. Lineage: Bacteria; Pseudomonadati; Bacteroidota; Cytophagia; Cytophagales; Cyclobacteriaceae.
GCUUAUUCAUCUGGUACCGGCAAUUUUCCACGCAUGGACUUUUUCUUCCCAGAUAAAAGCAGUUUACAACGCAGAACGCCGUCUUCCUGCACGCGGCAUGGCUGGGUCAGACUCUCGUCCAUUGCCCAAUAUUCCCUACUGCUGCCUCCCGUAGGAGUCUGGCCCGUAUCUCAGUGCCAGUGUGGGGGACCUUCCUCUCAGAACCCCUACUGAUCGUCGCCUUGGUGGUCCGUUACACGCCAACUAGCUAAUCAGACGCAUGCCCAUCCUAUACCGAUGAAUCUUUAACUAAAUC